UACAGAGGGCUCAAGCGUUGUUCGGAUUCAUUGGGCGUAAAGGGUGUGUAGGUGGCGCCGUAAGUCGGGUGUGAAAUUUCGGAGCUUAACUCCGAAACUGCAUUCGAUACUGCGGUGCUUGAGGACUGGAGAGGAGACUGGAAUUCAUGGUGUAGCAGUGAAAUGCGUAGAGAUCAUGAGGAAGACCAGUGGCGAAGGCGGGUCUCUGGGCAGUUCCUGACACUGAGACACGAAGGCCAGGGGAGCAAACGGG
This 253-nucleotide ribosomal RNA is filed under the name uncultured bacterium. Its description in RNAcentral is "partial 16S ribosomal RNA". It matches the Rfam family "Bacterial small subunit ribosomal RNA", at positions 524 to 776 of the family's 1533-position model. The record is from RNAcentral.